Molecule: long non-coding RNA, 296 nt
Filed under: Setaria viridis
Lineage: Eukaryota; Viridiplantae; Streptophyta; Magnoliopsida; Poales; Poaceae
Description: long non-coding RNA (SVIR_LNC002987)
Source: RNAcentral
GAAAAUUAUAGUAGUUGACCAUAUGACGAUUAUGCGGGAAGGAGUGUUUGCCGGCAAUUUCGUCAAUUAUGGUGAAGAAUAAGAGUACCUGCAAUUUCGACUAACUAGAUCCAUUGUUAGUUGAUGGCUUAAUUCAUUUCAGGUGAACAAACGACUGUCUAAUUAAAGACCUUAGAAGGAGAGUGUAGCAUAUGUUUUUCAGAGCCAAGAAGAGAAAAGUAAGUGCUUGCUAAAAUAGAAAACCAACCAUUUCACUUCUCUAACAACUCUCCAAGAAUAAGUUCCUCAUUGAAAUC